GGAUUCGCCCGAUGUGAAAACUUUCCUGAAGAUGAUCCGUUGGGGAAGUUUGAUUUUAUGAAGGAUCUGGUAGAGGGUCGGCCGGUGAUGGACUUCGGAUGGCAUUGGGGAGGUUCGGUAGACAUCGGAGGCGAUCGGUCGUUGUAGGAAUCCAGCUGUCGGAGCCCGAUCGUUGUAGAAGCUCAUCCAAUAUCCAACCACUAUAGAAGUUCGGUCGAAGUCUGGUUCUUGUAGAAGGCUGAAAGGAGAUCGCCUAUUGUGGAAGCUCGAUCGAAGGUCAGUUAUCGUGGGACCCGACUACGAAGAAGCUCGGUUGAAGUCUACCUGUAAUGGAAGUUCGGAAGGAAUAUGUUUACAGCGGAGGCUCGGAUGGGAUUUGCUUACAGUAGGGAUCCGAGGUAGGACGUCCACUGUAAGGGUUCAGAGUAGACUGCUCG
RNAcentral lists this long non-coding RNA (437 nucleotides) under Elaeis guineensis (African oil palm). RNAcentral describes it as "long non-coding RNA (EGUI_LNC058330)". The record is from RNAcentral. Lineage: Eukaryota; Viridiplantae; Streptophyta; Magnoliopsida; Arecales; Arecaceae.